ACUCCUACGGGAGGCAGCAGUGAGGAAUAUUGGUCAAUGGAGGGAACUCUGAACCAGCCAUCCCGCGUGUAGGAAGACGGCCUUAUGGGUUGUAAACUACUUUUAUACAGGAAGAAACGUACCCUCGUGAGGGUGCCUGACGGUACUGUAGGAAUAAGCACCGGCUAACUCCGUGCCAGCAGCCGCGGUAAUACGGAGGGCGCAAGCGUUACUCGGAAUCACUGGGCGUAAAGAGCGUGUAGGCGGAUAGAUAAGUCAGGAGUGAAAUCCUAUGGCUCAACCAUAGAACUGCUCUUGAAACUGUCAAUCUAGAGUAUGGGAGAGGUAGAUGGAAUUUCUGGUGUAGGGGUAAAAUCCGUAGAGAUCAGAAGGAAUACCGAUUGCGAAGGCGAUCUACUGGAACAUAACUGACGCUGAGACGCGAAAGCUGGGGAGCAAACAGGAUUAGAUACCCUGGUAGCGAGUAG
Molecule: ribosomal RNA, 467 nt
Filed under: uncultured bacterium
Lineage: Bacteria
Description: bacterial SSU rRNA
Rfam family: Bacterial small subunit ribosomal RNA
Source: RNAcentral